RNAcentral lists this ribosomal RNA (889 nucleotides) under uncultured organism. Its description in RNAcentral is "bacterial SSU rRNA". It matches the Rfam family "Bacterial small subunit ribosomal RNA", at positions 309 to 1189 of the family's 1533-position model. The record is from RNAcentral.
CACACUGGAACUGAGACACGGUCCAGACUCCUACGGGAGGCAGCAGUGGGGAAUAUUGCGCAAUGGGCGAAAGCCUGACGCAGCAACGCCGUGUGAGUGAGGAAGGCCUUCGGGUUGUAAAGCUCUGUCAAGGUGGAAAAAUGGCCAAUGUCCAAUAGGCCUUUGGUUUGAUGGUACACCUAAAGGAAGCACCGGCUAACUUCGUGCCAGCAGCCGCGGUAAUACGAAGGGUGCAAGCGUUGUUCGGAUUUAUUGGGCGUAAAGCGCGCGCAGGCGGAUUUGCAAGUCAGGUGUGAAAUCUCGGGGCUCAACCCCGAAACUGCGCCUGAAACUGCGGAUCUAGAAUAUUGGAGAGGGAAGAGGAAUUUCGCAUGUAGGGGUAAAAUCCGUAGAGAUGCGAAGGAACACCAGAGGUGAAAACGUCUUCCUGGACAAUCAUUGACGCUGAGGCGCGAAAGCGUGGGGAGCGAACAGGAUUAGAUACCCUGGUAGUCCACGCCGUAAACGAUGUGCACUAGAUAUUGCGAGGAUUGGCCCUUGCAGUGUUGUAGCUAACGCAUUAAGUGCACCGCCUGGGGAGUACGGUCGCAAGACUAAAACUCAAAGGAAUUGACGGGGGCCCGCACAAGCGGUGGAUCAUGUGGUUUAAUUCGAAGCAACGCGCAGGACCUUACCUAGGCUUGACAUCCCGAGAACCUGCCUUAAACGGCGGGGUGCCCGUAAGGGAAUUCGGAGACAGGCGCUGCAUGGCUGUCGUCAGCUCGUGUCGUGUGAUGUUGGGUUAAGUCUCGCAACGAGCGCAACCCCUGUUCUUAGUUGCCAGCAUUAAGUUGGGCACUCUAAGGAGACUGCCUGGGUUAACCAGGAGGAAGGUGGGGAUGACGUCAAG